UACGAAGGGGGCUAGCGUUGCUCGGAAUCACUGGGCGUAAAGGGUGCGUAGGCGGGUCUUUAAGUCAGGGGUGAAAUCCUGGAGCUCAACUCCAGAACUGCCUUUGAUACUGAGGAUCUUGAGUCCGGGAGAGGUGAGUGGAAUUGCGAGUGUAGAGGUGAAAUUCGUAGAUAUUCGCAAGAACACCAGUGGCGAAGGCGGCUCACUGGCCCGGUACUGACGCUGAGGUGCGAAAGCGUGGGGAGCAAACAGG
Molecule: ribosomal RNA, 253 nt
Filed under: uncultured bacterium
Lineage: Bacteria
Description: partial 16S ribosomal RNA
Rfam family: Bacterial small subunit ribosomal RNA
Source: RNAcentral